This 12486-nucleotide long non-coding RNA is filed under the name Panax ginseng (ginseng). Its description in RNAcentral is "long non-coding RNA (PGIN_LNC010316)". The record is from RNAcentral. Lineage: Eukaryota; Viridiplantae; Streptophyta; Magnoliopsida; Apiales; Araliaceae.
CAUGAAUGGAGAAAUAUCUAUAAAACAACCUCUUUACUCUAAUUUUAAAAUUUUGAAAAAUGUACAAUAAUUAUAUUUUAGGAUUCAUAAACUAAUUAAUUAGGAUAAAACUCAAAUUAUGGAACUUCUCAUGGAAUACAACGUCCACAAGCAAGCAGGCAGGCAGGAAGGAUCCAAACAAGAAAAAAUUCCUAUUUAAGCUUGUCUACAUUCUCAUUUGAAGUCAUUUAUGAAGAAGGAAAAUGGUAUUUUUUUGGAGGGAUCUAUAAUAAGCAAGCAAGCAAGCGGAGUAUGUAUCGACCAUACAAGCUAGCACCACUUGUUAACAUUCACUUCAUUUAAUUUGUUAGUCUCCUUCUUGGUGUCUCCCUUCCCUAUUAAUUUGUUACUCUUCUUCCUAAUGAAUCAUUCAAGUCUUUGUUGAGCCCUCCUCCUCCUUGCUCUCAAAUGUUGCCAACGCCCGCUUCUUCCAAGUCCUAAUUAAUUAUUAAUCCACAAUUAAAAAAAUAAAUAAAUCAAAACUCAAGUAUAUACACUACUAUCACCAGGAAGAAGAGAUUCAUUUUGUAUUUAUUUAUUUUUUCUUUUGCAAAUAAGACAUUUUCUUUUGUGAAUAAAAUUAAGAAGAAAUAAAUUGAAUAACAUAAGGCCACCAACUCUUCUUCGAAAACAGCCUAAUACGCAAUCUAUGAGCCACCGACUUAAAUAGGAAAAUCUGUCCAACAAUAUUGAAGUUAGUUAAUAAUUAAGAGUUAUAAUAAGAGAUUUUUUGGUUUGUAUUUAUGUCUGUUUAAAUGGAAAUGAUUAGUUUUCCACUUACCAAAACUACAUUACCUAAGCUCCGAUCCCCCUUGAAUAAGGCUUCUCUCAAAAGAGCAUCACUAGUAAACACUGCAUGAAUUGAACAAAUGUAUACCAACUUAAGAGUUAGUAUUGUAUAUACAUUGUUACUAUUUUGAUUUUAAGGACCAUUGAAUUAAUUGCUUAAUUAACUCCAAUAACUUGUGAGCUUCCAAAUAGCUAAAUUAAAAACUCAACUUAUAGAUAUAAACUUGUUUAUUAUAGACAUAUAUAUAGUUCAAAUAUAUAUAUAUAUAUAUAUAGUCAUUAAUUGUCAUUGCUAAAUUGAAAUAAGAAAACAAAGCUGAUUUACAAAUAAAACAGUUACUUGGGAUACUGCUGUUCUGAUGUGACUUGUUGUGGCACUUUCGUCAUCAGGAUCAUUCCAGAGGAGAUUUUGGGCUGUGCCAAAUUCAAGCAGCCUCUCCCUACUAGCUCCAGAAUCAUAUAGAUCCUCAAUUUCACUGCUCAUCAAAUUCAAAACUAUGAUUUAAUUAACUAGAACGAUCAACCCCAUUAAAAUAUACUAGUGAUCGAACAGCUAAUUCUUACUUUGUAAACUUGAAACUUUAAUUACAACAUAAAUUUAACUAAUUGUAUUAAUUAAGAGAAUGAUAACAAGAAGAAAUGAACUUUGCCUGAUGCUGAUUCUUGUAUCUUCCGGCUUAUGAUCCGGGACAGUAUAGCCACCUUGGUAGGGAUGUAUAUAUAUAUAUAUAUAUAUGAAGAGGAAGAAAGAUAACAAUUUAAAGAAAAUAAUUAAAUUUCUUAUAAUGAUCAAGUUAUAUAUAUGUGGAUAUACCUUAAUGCUGCCAUUGCAAGCACAUGGCGCCUCAAUUUUAUUCACAAGUUCCUCCUCAUGGCAAAUACGGCAUUCUCCAUUUCUUCAUCAGAAAACGAUAAGUCUUUCAUUUCAAAUUCCCAUCUAUCACCAGAAGAAGUGCCUUCUCCGAAAGGUCGUCUUUGAGUCGCUGACAGUGCCAGGUUAUAACUCAUUUUCUCCUACCACAAAAAUAAAAAUAAAAAACUUACUAAUUAGUACUUAAAUUACUAAUACUUUGUCCCACAAAAGCAGUCUCAUGUGCAAAAAAAAUUUUUAGAACAAAAGAGUUAUUUUUUUGUUGAUAGGAGAAUAGAAUGACACAAUUAUUGUGCUCAAGUUAUUUUUCAAUGAAAAUUAUAAAAAACAUAUACAUACAAGACAAAGAUCGGGCUUUCUUUCCCGUCCUUUUCACUUGUAUUUCAUCUGCAUGCAACAAAAGCUGUUAGUAUAUAUGUUUAAAAGUCAAGCAAACUAUAAAAGAAAAGGAGUAGAAAAUUAAAAUUGAGAAUUACUUGGAUGAUAAGGAAGUCAAUAUAUAGAUUUGAUCUUAUCCGCAAGUAAUGAAUUAGGCUAUAGCUAUAGCUUGUUGAUGGAAAAAGUAAGUGAAUAAGAAAGUGUUUAAAAAGACUUUAAGAAUCGGCUAAGUUCAUCGUAAAGCGAUGCUACAUGUUUAGCGUUGGAAACGUUUUGAGUUGAAAGCUAGACGCGUAAUCAAGGGUUGUUUGCCAACUUUAACUUCUCUGGCAUUUCAUACAUAAAUCUCUUGUUUUUUCUUCUUUUUCUUUGGAUCUUCUGCAUGGCCACCAUGUCGUUACUAAUUUGCUCACUUCUUUCUAUAUUCUUAUUUACGAAUAUAACCAUCUACUCUUUAUAUCCAAAUAUGCCCUCAUCUUUUAUAUUAUAUUCCACCAAUAUACCCUCUUCUUUUUAAAGGUUAUGUACGCAUUAAGUUUGGUUAGCCUAACUUUAUUUUUUUUUCAUUAACCCAAUUUUGGUGUUACAACUUACAAGAAUUAUCUGAAAUGCAUAAACUAUAUUUAAUUAAUUUUCAAACAAACCUAAUCAAAAAUAACUUUAAAAACUCUUGUUAAUAAACUGUCAACUAUGAAUCCGCCCUUUGUCCAGAUAUUUUUAAACUCUUGUUAGCAAAAUGUAUUUAGAAAACUCUUGUUAAGAAACUUGAUAUCCGCCCGUGUCCAGAUAUUUAUGGCAUAAGUGAAUCCUUUACACAACGUCUGGGAGUUUUUGAUGAGAAGAAAAGAAAAGAAAAAGUUAAAGAAAAGAGAAGAAAAGAAAGUUAGAGAAUGUUGGAUAGUUUUAUUUAGUCUUGUCUGGGGAGUUUGUGAAGAAAAAAGAAAGUGAGUUGAUAUAUUUUCUUCAGUCUUGUCUUAGAGUUGAGAAGAAAAGGAAAGAAAACUUAUCCUUUACUAAUUUACCCUUUAAAGGCAUACUAACCUAUUAUUGCGAAGCUCUCUUAUUAUUCUUAUUCUAAUUGUCCAAGAACCUGGCUGUAUACAGGGACUUCACAAACUCAAUACAUAUUAGUUGGGCAAUUUGUGCUAAAAUCUGCAAUGCUUCGUAUUUUAGCUGAUUUGGCCAAAAAUCUCUACUUGAUUUCAAUGGCUUCAAGAAAGGUUGGAUAGUCCUGUGAUUUUUAAAAUUCAAGUACAAAAACAUUAUGAAAGCACUUGAAUAAAAAUGUUUCUUUACAUAACUAAAUUAAAAACUACGCCCAGAAACACUCUUUAUAUAAGAGUUUCAAGUGUUUUCCAAACUGACAGCCAACAUCACAUUAGGAACUAAUGAGAAAAAGGCAAGGGUUUGAGCUAGAACAAUGAGUUCCAAUGCUAUAACUAACUUGUUUACGAAUAUAAGAUUCAGAAUAAGGGCUUAUGCGAUCUGUGAUUUGUGAAUGAAAGGUAGAUUGAGAUUGUUAAGUAGCCCUAGGACAUAGAUGGAAACAAAUUAUGUUAAGCUGAAAAUAUAAGGGCAAAAUUGGUAUUAUGAAAAUAUUACUAACUCAAGUUUUCCUCUCUCCAAAUCUUCUCAUUUUUGAGAAGAAAACUUUGUGGAGAAAAUGAGUCAUUUUUUCCCCAACUUUCCUUAGCUUUCCUUUCUCUUCUCCCAUAAAAAAAUUCCAAGACACUCCUCAAGUUUUAUUUUCCCCAACUUUCCUUUCUUUUCUCCCCUAUUUUAAACUCCAAGACAGGGAGCAUGGAUAAAUAACAGCUCUCAUAGUGGACAGUGUAUAGAUUCUAUAGAAGUGCACCUAAAAUAAUCUUAAACCCAAAAAUUAACUUUUCCCUCUUUGAGUAAUUAAAUAGGAAAUACACAAACCCAAUAAUGAGAACAAAAAUAAUAAAUAAUCAUCCACAAGACACAAUAUUUAAUGAGGAAAACCCUUAAAGAGGAAAACCACAUGUCGAACUCCAAAUUUCCACUAUAUCACUAACAAUGGGUUUACAAUAACCCUCCCAAGUUUUACGCCCUAAAACUUGAGGUUACACUAAAUUGAGAGAGUACAAAUUUACCUUUAAUUAGGUUGAGAAACCUAAUUAACUUCACCAUCCAAAAACACCCAAACCAAUAAGUCUUCAAGCUUCAAUUGAUUGGAAAAGUGAUGGCGCAAGUCACCCGAAUAACCCGAAAGCAUAAACCUGCUUUCCUUUUGAAUAUCUCAAUUAAUCCCUCCUUGGUUCGGCUGCACAACAAAGAGCCGAUGCGCUUUUUAUUCCAAUCCCGCUGCCUGCCAAAGAUGGUUCCAACUAAAGGUAUCGAAUACCUUUUAUAUAUUAAUCUCAUACAUGCAUGUCCAAUUCCAAUUCGUAAUUAGAAGGCACCCGACUUUCCAAGUUUCAAUUAAUCCUUUCCUAAUUGAUUUCUUAAUUAGGCCCACAUAAUCAAGUCAAUCCAAAAUCAACUUGAACUUCACAAAUUAGAAUCCUUUUUUAUUUUGGGUUCUCUCAUGGGUGAAGGAUCAAACCCAACACCAUGGAGGCUUCUAAGCUGACUCCUUAAUGUUAGCUGAUAAGUGUCUUGUCAAAUUUAAAAGCAGAUGGUCAUGCUUUGGGUACUGCCAUUCUAGAUUUAUUCUUGCUUUAUGAAAAUUUGCUAAUAUUGUCUGCGGUGAGUUCAGCCACCUCUUUGAGGCCUGAGCUCUGAUAGUUGUGUAAUGUAUGUCAAGUUAGAUAAUAGGGUCUUCAUACAUUAGUGACCAAAAGUUUAUAGUUUGAUUAUAUAAUUUAAUAGGAUUUGAUUCAUGAAAAUAUAAGAAAAUUUGGAUUGAUCAAAAUUCCAGUAUCUUUCAGCAUCAAUUACCUAGUUAAUUUAGUAUUAUCUUUUAUUACUUCCUCCUUAUACAACCCCUUUACAAGAGUUCACCACUCACCAGUACAGUCUGACAUCACAUAAAUUCUAUGCAACUAAAUAAAGCAGUGGCCUCACAGAAAAAAAUCUUAGGAACUAUUGCUGCAGGCAUUAAAAGGAUUCUCCAACUAUGUUUAUCACUAUUCCUAGUCUCUUGAAGCAAACCUGAAUACAGCAAGAAAAAAUAGAUAAACAAAAGGUCAAAACUAUAUGUCCAGAACAUAACUCACCAAAAUAUCACUGAUAAAAUCAUCAAACAGAAUCCAAAGAAAGUAUCACAAAAGUACUCCAUCAGGAUCAUUGCAAUUUGUAAAUUAACCAUAUAGUUCAAGUUCAACAAUAACCCAUCUCACAAAAUAAACAUUUUAAUCAUCAAUACAUAUACCAUCAUCAAUUCAUCAUUUAUUUGGGUUAAUUACUUAUCAAAUUCUUACCAAAUAACAAAAAGGCAACUGGGUUAUACUUAUUUUCAAUCAAACAAGCAACAUUGAUAAACCAGAGAGGAGCAACAACUUAACGAGAACAAACCAGGGCUCGCGUGAUUAAGUAGGGAAGAAUUUCUUGGAAUCAACCAACAUGAAAAGGACCCAUAUCGCCAGAGCCGAAGGCGGUAGCAAUCUCAUCAGCAACAGACAAACAAGAAACGACCCACCCACAUAGAGCUACCCUCAUCAUCUUACCCAUCCAUAGCAUCAUACUCCAUGGCACUGCCAUGCCUCUAUAUUAUCAAUUACAGAAUCAACCUCACAGGUCACCCUAUAUUCCACGUAUCCCUCUUGAAGAAGAAGAUUGGCUCUAGGGUGGUCCAUUGUCAUGAACUACCAGCAUUGGGACCCGAAGGGCAGUUUUUAAUGGAACCAAUUGCUAUUCUGGACAGGCACCUUGUGAAACGAAAGAAUUUCUCAAGUUCUUAUCCGAUGCUCAACAUGGGAAGAUUUUUUUUUUUGGGGGGGUGGGGGGUGUCAUCAAGGACAAAUUUCCAAACGUCAGUCCUUGUGGGCAAGGACAAUUUCAAGAAGGGGAGAAUGUAACGACUGUAGAGGCCAUGGACAAUUAAGGAAAUGCUCAAUUGCCCUUUGAUAGAGAACCUCUCAAGCUGUGUUCAUAGUUAUCAAGGCGCUAAGUCGAGGCAAAACGACAGCCGGGAGCUUAAGCGCUUAGUUGACAAGGCGCCCAACUAGUCGUCCACAAAUAGACAAGUCGUUAACAAUGUAAAUUUUAUACGUAUAAAAUUAUUAUAUUUAACAUUUAUAUGAAUAUUUAUAUUUUAUAUUUCUAAUGAUUUACCAUAUUCAUAAUGCAUGUUGUAACAUAUCAAAUCACAACAAGAAGCGAACAAGAUCAAGUUAAAAUGAUAAUUUUACUAUAGUUGUAAUUUUUUAAACGUGUACUAACUUCAAAUUAUAUAAAUAGUGAUACAUUUAUAAUAUUUAGUGUAAUUCAAUAUAAUUUUUAAAUUUAUUUUUAGUUUCCCAAGUUUUAAGAUUGUAUAUAUAGAAUACCAUAAAUUCAAUACUAAAAAUUCAAUGCAUCACAUAUCAUAUAUAAAAAAAAUUAAGCAGCAGCCCUCAACAAAGGAGAAUACACGUCGUUUAAAGUCGACCACUUUGAACUCCAAUCGUCCAAGUCGCUGCCAAGUCGUCACCUUUGUUAGCUAGGCGCUCGCCUUUCUGACCUCCAACCAAGUCGUCCAAAUGCCUUCAUAUUUUCCACCGCUUGGACGCCUAAGCGUGUUGGGAUGUAAAGGGCCAGAUGACCGUUGCAUUGAAGAUAUAUGAAUAACGGUGUCAGUGGAACACGGCAACUCAGUCAUUUUGUUGUUGCGCUUUUGUUUUGGUACUUUAAUUAAGUAAUUAGGGGUCAAUUAUGCUGGCAUUUCUUUAUUGGGUCAUGUAGUCAUUUUUUCGUUCUGUUAGAAUCGAGAUUGGGAUUCCUUUUUACUCACUGCUAUGGUGUACACCCAUGUGAUGAGCUAAUGGAUAUCCAUGUAAUCAAUUGAGCAAAUUUGUAAAAAAAAAGUGAAUUGAUCUCUCUCUAUUUAUUUCUUUUCUUGCUGUCCAAUUCUCCAUAAUUUCCUUUUCCAUUGUUAUGGUUUAGUCUCAAUUCCAAAGUUCAUAUAUAUCACAGUUUAAUAUGGGGGAGCCCAUAGUUUAGUUCUACGGACAGAAGCGCACUAUGUCAAUGUACAAAAAUACUAUCUUUUUAAAAGUAAUCCUCAUCUGCACAAUUAAACUGCGGAUCAGAGAGUUUUUUUAUGUCAAAUUGGUCAUAAUCCUUCUUUCUCUCUAGUCUUUAUUUUGAACUAAUACGAAAUUGAGGCAGAAAUUAAAGAGGAUCCUAACAACUUUAAAUUCGUUAACUCUGUGGACAAUCGAGCAAAACUUGGACAAAAAUUUCUGGGAGGAGUGGAAAGUUUCGGUCUUUAUACAUUAAGAUUGUUGUGAAGGAUUCUUUUUUGGGGUCUUUAGAUAUUUUGGUUUUUCAGGUUUGGUGAAUUACAGUUGAUUUUUGUGAUGUUGUGUUUGGAUCCAGAUACGGGUCUCUAAUUGUACAGAUCAUAUAACUACUACUUGAAAGCUUGUAGAAAUUGUUUAAAGAUUCAACCUUUUUGGUUCCCAAAGGAGAUAUAGUGAGACAAAAUCAAUUUGAAGAAUCAAUGGGGUCUGCAAGUAAGGAUAUACAAGUAUGUAAUAAAAGUUUUUUUAUAUCAUUUAAGUAGGUGCAGAAUUUUCAUGAUUUUACUUUGAUUGAUUUUCAGUUAAAUAGCUCGAUCGUCCGCAGAGUUAACGAAUUUAAGAAGGAUGCAUAAAAAAAUUCUUCAGUCCGCAGUAUUAAACUAGGGACAAACUGAAUUGAUUUUUAAAGAAAAUAUAAAAAUUAUUGGGAUAUUUCACAUGAAUCCAACAUCGGGUAAAUUCAUGUGUAAAUGAGUUAAUAAGUAUGGCAGACCAUAAUAAUUUAACCUUUUAGGUAAGGAGGUCAUCCGACAUGCUUGUAGGGUCAGUAUACAUAGAUGUACGCUACAUUGGUGUUGAAUGAAUGUGGGAUGAAUCAUUCCAAGUCCACUACAAUUGGUAUCAGAGCUCAUGGUUGGAUGGGCCCAAGUAUCAGGUUGACACUCCAAGGUGAAGGUGGAGCAUUAAGGUCGCGUGUUACUCAGUCCACGCGGUGGAGCAAAUAGAAUUGAGUUAGGUGGGGUAAGGAAUCACUCCCACAAUUGCCACCACACAGUGAAAUAUGAUUUGAGUCGAAUGAAGCGGGCUCAAGAUGGAUCUUAGAAGCUUCUCAGGGUGCCACUACACGGUGAAGUAUGAUCUGAGUCUAAUGAAGUUGGCUCAGGAUGGCUCUGGGAAACUACUCAGGGUGAAGGGUUCACUUAUGAUUUGAGUCGAAUAGAGCAACUCAGGAUGGCUCUGGAAAGUUGCUCAGGAUGAAGGGUUCACAAAGAGCAAGGUUGUAGUCUCACGUUUGGCUCUGGCGUUGCGGAGUAACUAGAGUUAGAGUCGAGCAGAGCUCUUGAAGGACUCAAAAAAAGUGUGCUCAAUGGUGACUACUCUGGCGUGGUGGAGUAAUUAGAGUUAGAGUCGAGCAGGGCUCUUGAAGGACUCAAAAAAAGUGUGCUCUAUGGUGACUACUCUUGCGUGGUGGAGUCACUCAAAGAAAGUAUACUCCAUGGUGAUUACUCUAAUAUGAUACUUGUGAUAAGUAUUCAAGUGAAAAGUGGAGAUUAUUGGGAUAUUUUACAUAAAUCACACAUCGGAUAAAUUCAAAAGUGUAGAUAGGUUAAUAAGACUACUCUAAUAUGAUACUUGUGAUGGAAAAAAGUGAAAGGUGGAGAUUGUUGGAAUAUUUCACAUAAAUCCCAUAUCGGAUAAAUUAAGGUCAUCCAAUGCGUUGCAUUGGUGCUGAAUUAAUGCGGGAUUGAUCGUUCAAUUCCAGUUCCACACCAAAAAAAUGAUAAUUAUUUACAAGUGGGUUUAGCUUUGCGGACUCGAGGUGUAGAUGGUAUUAUUUUCCGCGUCAGAUCCGCGAUUGGACGGUCUGUUGUAAGAAUCUUAUUCUUACAACGUUGGCCCUUAUAUAUAUACCAUCAUCAGUUCAUCAUUAAUCAGUCUACACAGAUGUACGCUACAUUGGAGUUGAAUUAAUGUGGGAUGAAUCAUUCAACUCCACUACAAUUGGUAUCAGAGCUCAUGAUUGGAUGGGCUCAAGUAUCAGGUUGACAGUCCAAGGUGAAGCAUUCUCAGGCCGCAUGUUACCCAGUCUGCACGGUGGAGCAAAUAGAGUUGAGUCAGGUGGAGUAAAGAAUCACUCCCACGAUUGCCACAACACAGUGAAAUAUGAUUCGAGUCAAAUGGAGCGGACUCAGGAUGGCUCAGGGUGCCACUACGCGGUGAAGUAUGAUUUGAGUCGAAUGAAGCUGACUCAAGACGGCUCUGGGAAACUGCUCAGGGUGAAGGGUUCACAUAUGAUUUGAGUCGAAUGGAAUGAACUCAGGAUGGCUCUGGGAAGUUACUCAGGGUGUCGGAUAUGGUGUCUGCAAAUACAAAUGUUUCGUGCUUGAUGACAGAAGAUGAGAAGAAAGUAUCUGUCAUGGCCCCAGCUUGUUGAAAUCUCUGCAACUACAAUGGUAACUUAGGCCCAUAGGAUUUUUUUUAUUGUCAACACUGGAGGCACACAGGUAUACAUGUAUACAUAUAUGUAGAAUUACAUCCAAUGGGAAUCUGGGUUGUUGGUAAGUUUCCAUUUAACUUUUGGACAAAAAACUAAUUGCACACUAUGCAGCAAUAUUAUGCAUUUCAUAGGCGCUAAGUUUCUAGGAGCUUAGAGUAGUGCAAUAGCAUCUACUGACAUCAACAAAAAUUAUUCAAAUAAGUUUCCGAACGUUUAGCUCUGGCAUUGCAGAGUAACUAGAGUUAAAGUCGAGUAGGGCUCUUGAAGGACUCAAAGAAAGUGUGCUCAAUGGUAACUACUCUAGCGUGGUGGAGUAAUUAGAGUUAGAGUCGAGCAGGGAUCUUGAAAGACUCAAAGAAAGUGUCUUCAAUGGUGACUACUCUGGCGUGGUGGAGUAAUUAAAGUUAGAGUCGAGCAUAGCACUUGAAGAACUCAAAGAAAGUAUGCUUUAUGGUGAUUACUUUAAUGGGCAAAGGUUCAAAAAAAAUGUCCCUGAUGUUUACACGGAUAUCCCACUUCCACUGUAAACUAAUUUUUUUUCCAAAAGUACCCUUAACGUUUCAAAAUGGAGGUCACUCGUGCCUCUUCCGUUAACAGAAGACAAACAGGGUUAAAAUGUGAUGACGUGACAGGCUUAAAUAUAAAACAUAUUCUAAAUAAAACAAUAUAUAUCAUUUAAUCAAAACAAAAAUACUAAAUUCAAAAUAAAAAAAGCAUAACAUAUUUACAUCAUUUAAUCAAAAUAAUAAAAUUCAAAUUAUUUUGUUAACUAAUCAAAACAACUAAUUAAAUAAAAUAAGUUGUAUAACAUAUUUACAUCAUUUAAUCAAAAUACUAAAAUUCAAAACAUAACAUAUUUACAUCAAAUAAUAAUUAAAAAAUACUAAAAUACUAAUUAAAAAAAUACUAAAAUACUAAAAAAAAUCAAAUUAAAAAAAUACUAAAAUUCAAAUUAUUUUGUUAAUUAAUCAAAACAACAAAAAUUCAAAUUACAUCAUUAAAAUACUAAAAUCAUAAUACUAAAUACUAAUUGAUAUAAAAUAUUUAAAUUACUAAAAUCAUAAUACUAAAUAAUAUUUUUAAAAUUCAAAACUGGAGUAUUAUGAUUAUUUUAGUAAUUUUUAAUAUUAAUUUUUAAAAUCAUAUCAAUUUAAAAAUAUUAUGAUGUAAUUUGAAUUUUUUAAUACAUUUUUUAAAAUAUUAUUACAUCAUCAAAUUAUAACAUAUACUGUUAUGUAUAGAUUAUUACAUCAUCAAAUUAUUUAUAUUAUUUAUAACAUAUAUAGAUUAUGUAUAGAUUAUUACAUCAUCAAAUUUUUAUAUAGUUUAAAAAUAUUAUUUAGUAUUAUGAUUUUAGUAAUUUAAAAAUUUUAUAUCAAUUAGUAUUUAGUAUUAUGAUUUUAGUAUUUUAAUGAUGUAAUUUGAAUUUUUGUUGUUUUGAUUAAUUAACAAAAUAAUUUGAAUUUUAGUAUUUUUUUAAUUUGAUUUUUUUAGUAUUUUAGUAUUUUUUUUUAAUUAGUAUUUGAUGUAAAUAUGUUAUAUUUUGAAUUUUAGUAUUUUGAUUAAAUGAUGUAAAUAUGUUAUACAACUUAUUUUAUUUAAUUAGUUGUUUUGAUUAGUUAACAAAAUAAUUUGAAUUUUAUUAUUUUGAUUAAAUGAUGUAAAUAUGUUAUGUUUUUUUUUUGAAUUUUAGUAUUUUUUGUUUUGAUUAAAUGAUAUAUAUUGUUUUAUUUAGAAUAUAUUUUAUAUAUAUUUAAGCCUGUCACGUCAUCACAUUUUAAUUUCGUUUGUCUUCUGUUAACGGCAUGGGCACGGGUGACCUGCUUUUUGAAAUGUUAAGGGUAUUUUUGGGAAAAAAAAAAUUAGUUUAGGGUGGAAGUGGGACAUCCGUGUAAACAUCAGGGUCAUUUUUGAACCUUUACCCUUACUUUAAUAUGAAAGGUGGAGAUUGUUGCCCACAUAGGAUAAAUUCAAGAAUGUAGAUAUGUUAAUAAGACUACUCUAAUAUGAUACUUGUGAGGGAAAUAAGUGAAAGCUAGAAAUUGCUGGGAUAUUCACAUAAAUCACACAUCGCAUAAAUCACACAUUGGUGCUGAAUUAAUGUGGGAUUGUUCAAUUCCAGUUCCACUACAAAAAUUAUAAUUAUUUACAAGUGGGUUUAUCGUCCGUAGUUUAGCUUUGCGGACUCGAGGUGUAGACGUUAUUAUUUUCCGCAUCAGAUCCGGGACUGUCUGUUGUAAUAAUAAUCUUAAUCUUACAACGUUGGCCCUUAUAUAUAUAUACCAUCAUCAGUUCAUCAUUUAUCUGGGUUAAUGACUUGUGAAAUUCUUACCAAAAAAUAAAAACGCAACUGGGUUAUAUUUAUUUUCAAUCAAAAGAGCAUAAUUGAUAAACCAAGAAGGAGCAACAAGUUAACGAGAACAAACCAGGGAACGGCUGAUUAAGUAGGGCAGAAAUUCUUGGAAUCAACCAACAUGAAAAAGGACCAUAUCGCCAGAGCGGAAGGCGGCAGCAAUCUCAUCGGCAACAAACAAACAAGAAACGACCCACCCACAUUAAGCUACCCACACCAUCUUACCCAUCCAUAGCGUCAUACUCCAUAUCACUGUCAUGCCUCUAUCUUAUCGAUUUCUUCAAGUUGGGGGUUUGUUUAUUUUGGUGAUCUUCUAAAGAAUGGAACGAUUGUGUAGAAGGGAUAUCUUAGACAUAUCUAUUUCCUGUUUGGACUCUUCGAGUACAGACAGAAGAUGUACAGAGCCGUAACGGCGUGAUUGGCGGGUGGG